Molecule: ribosomal RNA, 469 nt
Filed under: uncultured bacterium
Lineage: Bacteria
Description: partial 16S ribosomal RNA
Rfam family: Bacterial small subunit ribosomal RNA
Source: RNAcentral
GACGAACGCUGGCGGCGUGCUUAACACAUGCAAGUCGAACGGAAAGGCCCUGCUUGCAGGGUGCUCGAGUGGCGAACGGGUGAGUAACACGUGGGUGAUCUGCCCCUUACUUUGGGAUAAGCCUGGGAAACUGGGUCUAAUACUGGAUAGGACCAUGCUGUAGGUGGUGUGGUGGAAAGAUUAGUUUCGGUAAGGGAUGAGCUCGCGGCCUAUCAGCUUGUUGGUGGGGUAAUGGCCUACCAAGGCGUCGACGGGUAGCCGGCCUGAGAGGGUGGACGGCCACAUUGGGACUGAGAUACGGCCCAGACUCCUACGGGAGGCAGCAGUGGGGGAUAUUGCACAAUGGGCGCAAGCCUGAUGCAGCGACGCCGCGUGGGGGAUGACGGCCUUCGGGUUGUAAACUCCUUUCAGCCAUGACGAAGCCCUUGUGGUGACGGUAGUGGUAGAAGAAGCACCGGCUAACUACGUG